ACGGGAGGCAGCAGUGGGGAAUAUUGGACAAUGGGGGAAACCCUGAUCCAGCGACGCCGCGUGAGUGAAGAAGUAUUUCGGUAUGUAAAGCUCUAUCAGCAGGGAAGAUAAUGACGGUACCUGACUAAGAAGCCCCGGCUAACUACGUGCCAGCAGCCGCGGUAAUACGUAGGUGGCAAGCGUUGUCCGGAUUUACUGGGUGUAAAGGGUGCGCAGGCGGGACUGCAAGUUGGAUGUGAAAUACCGAGGCUUAACCUCGGAGCUGCAUCCAAAACUGUAGUUCUUGAGUGAAGUAGAGGUAAGCGGAAUUCCGAGUGUAGCGGUGAAAUGCGUAGAUAUUCGGAGGAACACCAGUGGCGAAGGCGGCUUACUGGGCUUUAACUGACGCUGAGGCACGAAAGCAUGGGUAGCAAACAGGAUUAGAUACCCUGGUA
This 434-nucleotide ribosomal RNA is filed under the name uncultured Clostridium sp. RNAcentral's name for it is "partial 16S ribosomal RNA". It matches the Rfam family "Bacterial small subunit ribosomal RNA", at positions 341 to 792 of the family's 1533-position model. Lineage: Bacteria; Bacillati; Bacillota; Clostridia; Eubacteriales; Clostridiaceae. The record is from RNAcentral.